CAGCCGCCGCGGUAAUACAGAGGGUGCAAGCGUUAAUCGGAAUUACUGGGCGUAAAGCGCGCGUAGGUGGUUCGCCAAGUUGGAUGUGAAAUCCCCGGGCUCAACCUGGGAACUGCAUCCAAAACUGGCGAGCUAGAGUAUGGUAGAGGGUGGUGGAAUUUCCUGUGUAGCGGUGAAAUGCGUAGAUAUAGGAAGGAACAUCAGUGGCGAAGGCGGCCAUCUGGGACAACACUGACGCUGAGGCACGAAAGCGUGGGGAGCAAACAGGAUUAGAUACCCCAGUAGUCCCUGUCUCUUAUAC
Molecule: ribosomal RNA, 301 nt
Filed under: uncultured bacterium
Lineage: Bacteria
Description: partial 16S ribosomal RNA
Rfam family: Bacterial small subunit ribosomal RNA
Source: RNAcentral